GAGUUUGAUCGUGGCUCAGGACGAACGCUGGCGGCGUGCUUAACACAUGCAAGUCGAACGAUGAAGGGGAGCUUGCUCCUUGGAUUAGUGGCGAACGGGUGAGUAACACGUGAGUAACCUGCCCUUGACUCUGGGAUAAGCGUUGGAAACGACGUCUAAUACCGGAUAUGACCUGUGACGGCAUCGUCUGCAGGUGGAAAGAAUUUUGGUCAAGGAUGGACUCGCGGCCUAUCAGGUAGUUGGUGAGGUAACGGCUCACCAAGCCGACGACGGGUAGCCGGCCUGAGAGGGUGACCGACCACACUGGGACUGAGACACGGCCCAGACUCCUACGGGAGGCAGCAGUGGGGAAUAUUGCACAAUGGGCGAAACCCUGAUGCAGCAACGCCGCGUGAGGGACGACGGCC
RNAcentral lists this ribosomal RNA (407 nucleotides) under uncultured bacterium. RNAcentral's name for it is "bacterial SSU rRNA". It matches the Rfam family "Bacterial small subunit ribosomal RNA", at positions 9 to 416 of the family's 1533-position model. The record is from RNAcentral.